This 329-nucleotide ribosomal RNA is filed under the name uncultured bacterium. RNAcentral describes it as "partial 16S ribosomal RNA". It matches the Rfam family "Bacterial small subunit ribosomal RNA", at positions 100 to 426 of the family's 1533-position model. The record is from RNAcentral.
AAAAAAAAAAACACGUGGAUAACCUACCUAUAAGACUGGGAUAACUUCGGGAAACCGGAGCUAAUACCGGAUAAUAUUCUGAACCGCAUGGUUCAAUAGUGAAAGACGGUUUUGCUGUCACUUAUAGAUGUAUCCGCGCCGCAUUAGCUAGUUGGUAAGGUAACUGCUUACCAAGGAAACGAUGGGUAGCCGAACUGAGCGGGGGAUCGGCCACGCUUGAAUGGAGACACGGUCCAGACGCAUACGGGAGGCAGCAGUAGGGAAUCUUCCGAAAGGGGCGAAAGCCUGACGGAGCAAAGCCGCGUGAGUGAUGAAAUUCUUUUUUUUUU